Molecule: long non-coding RNA, 1175 nt
Filed under: Nicotiana tabacum (common tobacco)
Lineage: Eukaryota; Viridiplantae; Streptophyta; Magnoliopsida; Solanales; Solanaceae
Description: long non-coding RNA (NTAB_LNC007372)
Source: RNAcentral
AGGUUCUUCGGACUUCAAAUUUUUGAUCUGUUAAAAUAACAAAUUUAUGUCAGUUUAGUAACAAAGAAUAAAUAACUAAAGAAGAAAAUGAACACUUUAAAGGAAAAAUGAACAGAUAACACCUUAAAUGGUGAGUAAACUUUUUUUAAUAAACUAUAACAAGAGGUUAAUUGUCGCUCGAUUACAAAGAUUACUAGCAGUAACAUGCAAAGAGAUAAAGAAAUUACAGUGGAGGUUGGGACAGGUAGUGAUGAUCGAUUUCAAGGGGAUUUGAGGCAACUGUUGGAUGCAAAAAAGUUGCAGAAGAUUGCUGAUGAAAGAGGCUUGGAAUCAACUGAAAUUAAUGGUAAAACUACACAUACAGCUGCUGCUACUGGGAUUGCCAUAGUCCCUAUUGAAGCAGCCGUAGGUAGGGAUUCUCAGGAGUUAGACAGGUGAGGUGCAGGCUGCUAAAAACUCUAAGGUUGAUCGAGGUGCUAAUUCAACAGCUACAGGAGUUGGCCAAAGUACUAAUGGUCAAGGACAAAUCAAUGAAUAAUAGGUCACAUGUUUGAGGGAGCAAGGAGUAGGGUACGUGAAACUGAUGAGCAUGUGAUCAAGAAUGCGGAGCAGACUGCCUUAGCUGGUGCUUCAUUCACUAAAGGGGCUGAUGCCUCAACUGUUGGAAAAUCUAAACCUCCAGCUGAUGUUCCUGCUACUACAGCCUUGGCAGGGCUUUACACAAGGCCGUGAAUUAAGCUUUACAAACUAAUACUAAGGUGGAUGGGAUUGGUGAUCAAGUUAAUACACUUACCAAAUCAGUCGGGGUGCAGACUAAUUUUCAGGAAGUUAGUGAGAAAGAGAGAACUGGGGUGCUCAAAACUGGAAAGCAGGUGCCCACGACUCAAGAGGCAUCUGUUGCAGUGCACAUAGAGGCAAAUGAUGCUUUAAAAUCUGGUGUUCAAUGUGUGCAGCAGUCUAAGGGAGGAGACUGGACAAUGAUAAAUCGAGCACACCUAUCACCUAGCAAAAAGAAUGCACCAAAAGUCCCAAAAAUCAGAGCACUGCUGCACAAAACAUCAGCUGUUCUAAUGCUUUUGAUACACCAGGUAUGAAGGAGAAGAAAGUUGGGAUACGUGAACCUAAUGUUACACCAAUUCAAAAUAUAGGAGCUGCUGAUGCGCAAACUGGGCGAC